AUGCCAUGGAAGAUAAGGUGUGCAAAUUGUAAUACUGAGAAAGUAUUAAAUAUUAGCUUUGAUAUAAGUUCACAAAAAACCAUAUAUAUCUAUUGUAAUGU
This 101-nucleotide small RNA is filed under the name Saccharolobus islandicus HVE10/4. Its description in RNAcentral is "Sulfolobus islandicus HVE10/4 non-coding RNA". RNAcentral also lists the same sequence under 1 other name. Lineage: Archaea; Thermoproteati; Thermoproteota; Thermoprotei; Sulfolobales; Sulfolobaceae. The record is from RNAcentral.